Molecule: ribosomal RNA, 437 nt
Filed under: Clostridioides difficile
Lineage: Bacteria; Bacillati; Bacillota; Clostridia; Peptostreptococcales; Peptostreptococcaceae
Description: bacterial SSU rRNA
Rfam family: Bacterial small subunit ribosomal RNA
Source: RNAcentral
GGGGGAGCAAACAGGAUUAGAUACCCUGGUAGUCCACGCUGUAAACGAUGAGUACUAGGUGUCGGGGGUUACCCCCUUCGGGGCCGCAGCUAACGCAUUAAGUACUCCGCCUGGAAAGUACGGUAGAAAGAGUGAAAACAAAAGGAAUGGACGGAGACCUGCAUAAGGAGCAGAGCAUGUGGUUAAAUGCGAAGGAAAGCGAAGAACGUUACGUAAGCUUGACAUCCCAAUGACAUCGCCUUAAUCGGAGAGGUUCCUACGGGGACAUUGGUGACAGGUGGGGCAUGGUUGUCGUCAGCUCGUGUCGUGGGAUGUUGGGUUAAGUCCCGCAACGAGCGCAACCCUUGUCUUUAGUUGCCAUCAUUAAGUUGGGCACUCUAGAGAGACUGCCAGGGAUAACCUGGAGGAAGGUGGGGAUGACGUCAAAUCAUCAUGCC